AGACAUCUGUUCCUCUGACAUGAUAUCUCAUGAUAUGUCAGAUUUCAGAAUGUCUUAGAUCAAGAGGACUGCUUCACCCAGAAUUGUUAGAUCAUAUUCGCACUGUCUGGUUUUUGCGGGUUCAAACAAAU
Megalopta genalis is the source of this 131-nucleotide small nucleolar RNA. RefSeq annotates it as small nucleolar RNA SNORA79. NCBI's taxonomy places the organism in Eukaryota, Metazoa, Arthropoda, Insecta, Hymenoptera, Halictidae. The record is from RefSeq and is a predicted model, not a curated record.